This 190-nucleotide ribosomal RNA is filed under the name uncultured Meyerozyma. RNAcentral's name for it is "partial 26S ribosomal RNA". It matches the Rfam family "Eukaryotic large subunit ribosomal RNA", at positions 104 to 283 of the family's 3401-position model. The record is from RNAcentral. Lineage: Eukaryota; Fungi; Ascomycota; Pichiomycetes; Serinales; Debaryomycetaceae.
AGUGAGCGGCAAAGCUCAAUUUGAAUCUGGCACCUUCGGUGUCCGAGUUGUAAUUUGAAGAUGGUAACCUUGGGGUUGGCUCUUGUCUAUGUUUCUUGGAACAGGACGUCACAGAGGGUGAGAAUCCCGUGCGAUGAGAUGCCCAUUCCUAUGUAAGGUGCUUUCGAAGAGUCGAGUUGUUUGGGAAUAA